Grammomys surdaster is the source of this 528-nucleotide long non-coding RNA. RefSeq lists it as uncharacterized. The transcript has 3 exons. The record is from RefSeq and is a predicted model, not a curated record. NCBI's taxonomy places the organism in Eukaryota, Metazoa, Chordata, Mammalia, Rodentia, Muridae.
GCCAGGAUGAAGAGAAGCUGCGAGCCAGUAUGGAACCCAGUACCCCUAGAGCCCCCCGAGUGGAUAUCCGCGUGGAAAGGAUGUUGGCAGCCCGGGUGACCUCGGAGUCACGGCUGGAUCCACCCUCCCGAUGGCCUCAAACUUACUGUGUAAUCAAGGACAACAAUGACGUUCUUCCUCUUCUUCCUAAGUGCUGAAAUUAUAGGCCUGAUUUUCUUAACUCCACCAUGGUAAGAAGAUGCCCUCCAGCAGGUUGUGCUUGCAGACUACGUGGAGCCUCUCCCGAGAUUUUCUGAACCCUGUGGAUUUACAGGAAGACACAGUUUCCUGGGGAGUAAUUCUAAUGGAUGCAAAUUCUGGAGUAAUACACCUGACUUGCCUGGAGACAAGUAACCGAAUGGAUUCUUCUUGCCUGGAUGCCCACUGGGAACAAGGACCAUAGCUGAGAGGACUGUAUCUCUACCUUUGACUCAAUGGGAACAUUUGCUCAGAUCUCUCGGGCUACCUGGAGCUCCCUCUAAAAAUGUA